RNAcentral lists this ribosomal RNA (558 nucleotides) under uncultured fungus. RNAcentral describes it as "eukaryotic LSU rRNA". It matches the Rfam family "Eukaryotic large subunit ribosomal RNA", at positions 70 to 650 of the family's 3401-position model. Lineage: Eukaryota; Fungi. The record is from RNAcentral.
AGGGAUUGCCCUAGUAACGGCGAGUGAAGCGGCAACAGCUCAAAUUUGAAAUCUGGCCUUCUGGUCCGAAUUGUAAUUUGUAGAGGAUGACUUUGGUUAGGUACCUUUCGAGUUCCUUGGAACAGGACGCCUUAGAGGGUGAGAAUCCCGUAUGUGGUCGGUCGUUUUCACCAUGUGAAGCUCCUUCGACGAGUCGAGUAGUUUGGGAAUGCUGCUCUAAAUGGGAGGUAAAUUUCUUCUAAAGCUAAAUACCGGCCAGAGACCGAUAGCGCACAAGUAGAGUGAUCGAAAGAUGAAAAGCACUUUGAAAAGAGGGUUAAAUAGUACGUGAAAUUGUUGAAAGGGAAGGGUUUAUGACCAGACCUUUGCGUUGGGAAUCAUCCGGUGUUCUCACCGGUGCACUUCCCUUCGUUGAGGCCAGCAUCAGUUUCUGGCGGGGGAUAAAGACUUAAGGAAUGUGAUUCCCCCGGGAAUGUUAUAGCCUUCUGUGUAAUACCCUGCCGGGGACUGAGGACCGCGCUUCGGCUAGGAUGCUGGCAUAAUGGUCAUCAGCCACCC